UGCCGACCACAUCACUGACGCUCAUGCACGAAAGCGUGGGUAUCGAACAGGAUUAGAUACCCUGGUAGUCCACGCAGUAAACGAUGAUGACUAGCUGUCCGGGGCGAUUGUGCUCUGGGGGGCACAGCGAAAGCGUUAAGUCAUCCACCUGGGGAGUACGCCGGCAACGGUGAAACUCAAAGGAAUUGACGGGGGCCCGCACAAGCGGAGGAACAUGUGGUUUAAUUCGAUGAUACGCGAGGAACCUUACCCGGGCUCAAACGACAGAGGACGCAUUCCGAAAGGAAUGUUCCAGCAAUGGUCUCUGUCGAGGUGCUGCAUGGUUGUCGUCAGCUCGUGCCGUGAGGUGUCGGCUUAAGUGCCAUAACGAGCGCAACCCCCAUCUUCAGUUGCUACCGCGUUUAGGGCGGGCACUCUGGAGAGACUGCCGGCGCAAGCUGUGAGGAAGGCGGGGAUGACGUCAAAUCAGCACGGCCCUUACGUGCGGGGCGACACGCGUGUUACAAAGGCGGGGACAGCAGGAAGCACAGAGCGACUCCGAGCCGAUCCCUAAACCCGUCUCAGUCGGAUCGGAGUCUACAACUCGCUCCGUGAAGCGGA
RNAcentral lists this ribosomal RNA (600 nucleotides) under uncultured bacterium. Its description in RNAcentral is "bacterial SSU rRNA". It matches the Rfam family "Bacterial small subunit ribosomal RNA", at positions 726 to 1329 of the family's 1533-position model. The record is from RNAcentral.